UCCUUAGAUGUUCUGGGCUGCACGCGUGUUACAAUCGGGAGUACAACAAGAUUGCAAAUCCUAGUGGAUGAGUGGUUCUUCGAAAUUUUCUGAAGACUGGGAUAGUUGAUUGAAAUUAUUCAACUCGAACGAGGAAUUCCUUGUAAUUGUAAUUCAUUAUAUUGUAAUGAAUACGUCCUGCCCUUUGUACACACCGCCCGUCGCUCCUACCGAUUGAACGAUCCAGUGAAUUAUUUGGAGUAGCUCUGGAAGUUGCAGAACUUCCUAUGUCACGAAAUUUUGUAAACCUUAUCGUUUAGAGGAAGGAAAAGUCGUAACA
This 319-nucleotide ribosomal RNA is filed under the name uncultured eukaryote. Its description in RNAcentral is "partial 18S ribosomal RNA". It matches the Rfam family "Eukaryotic small subunit ribosomal RNA", at positions 1470 to 1796 of the family's 1831-position model. The record is from RNAcentral.